CCUACGGGGGGCAGCAGUGAGGAAUAUUGGUCAAUGGUCGGGAGACUGAACCAGCCAAGCCGCGUGAGGGAUGAAGGUACAGAGUAUCGUAAACCUCUUUUGUCAGGGAACAAAAUCGGGGUCGCGACCCCGGAUGAGUGUACCUGAAGAAAAAGCAUCGGCUAACUCCGUGCCAGCAGCCGCGGUAAUACGGAGGAUGCGAGCGUUAUCCGGAUUUAUUGGGUUUAAAGGGUGCGCAGGCGGUCUGUUAAGUCAGCGGUAAAAGCCCGGGGCUCAACCCCGGCCAGCCGUUGAAACUGGCAGGCUCGAGUUGGAGAGAGGUAUGCGGAAUGCGCGGUGUAGCGGUGAAAUGCAUAGAUAUCGCGCAGAACUCCGAUUGCGAAGGCAGCAUGCCGGCGCCAAACUGACGCUGAGGCACGAAAGCGUGGGUAUCGAACAGGAUUAGAUACCCGUGUAGUC
Molecule: ribosomal RNA, 459 nt
Filed under: uncultured bacterium
Lineage: Bacteria
Description: partial 16S ribosomal RNA
Rfam family: Bacterial small subunit ribosomal RNA
Source: RNAcentral